GGCUAACUCCGUGCCAGCAGCCGCGGUAAUACGGAGGGUGCGAGCGUUAAUCGGAAUUACUGGGCGUAAAGCGCAUGCAGGCGGCCUGUUAAGUCAGAUGUGAAAGCCCGGGGCUUAACCUCGGAAUUGCAUUUGAAACUGGCAGGCUAGAGUCUUGUAGAGGGGGGUAGGAAUUUCUAGGUGUAGCGGUGAAAUAGCGUAGAGAUCUGAAGGAAUACCAGUGGCGAAGGCGGCCCCUGGACAAAGACUGACGCUCAGAUGCGAAAGCGUGGGGAGCCAAACAGGAUUAGAUACCCCUGGUAG
RNAcentral lists this ribosomal RNA (303 nucleotides) under uncultured bacterium. RNAcentral's name for it is "bacterial SSU rRNA". It matches the Rfam family "Bacterial small subunit ribosomal RNA", at positions 495 to 793 of the family's 1533-position model. The record is from RNAcentral.